Long non-coding RNA from Gallus gallus (chicken), 476 nucleotides. NCBI's taxonomy places the organism in Eukaryota, Metazoa, Chordata, Aves, Galliformes, Phasianidae. The record is from Ensembl.
UUUUUUUAUUAUUUCUCCUACGAUGUUUAGCAUCAGAGCGCCAUGUGCUUUCCCUUGGUCUGGGAGCCUAUCAGCAGACAGCUCAGGAAGACAUCCCUGAGACUCAGCCACCUGCCAACCUGAGGUGCUCUGUAAGCACUGCAAAUGCCACUAUAACGUCUCCCCGGAGCCUUCAUGUGUCCAAGUGCCAUAAGCUGGGGAGCACAAGACCAGCUGCUGAAUGGAUCCAUCUCAUAUACAGGAUAUACACUCCCAGUGAAGGACUCACUCCACCAGGAAGGGGAAAAGGUACCUCCUGGACAUACAUUUUCAGGCUCACUACUGGAGGCACCUAGGCGUGCAGCGUUGCAGAGGCCUUGCCUCUCUUGGACUUCCAGAUCCAGCAGAAUAUCUUCAGAUCCUGGCUGACUGAGGAGGAUCCCAAUCCCUCCAGACACUAAAAAUGCACCACUGCUCCCCAGCAUCCCAGAAGUCAC